This 464-nucleotide ribosomal RNA is filed under the name uncultured bacterium. Its description in RNAcentral is "bacterial SSU rRNA". It matches the Rfam family "Bacterial small subunit ribosomal RNA", at positions 331 to 793 of the family's 1533-position model. The record is from RNAcentral.
CCAGACUCCUACGGGAGGCAGCAGUGAGGAAUAUUGGUCAAUGGGCGAGAGCCUGAACCAGCCAAGUCGCGUGAGGGAGUACUGCCCUAUGGGUUGUAAACCUCUUUUGUCGGGGAGCAACGAGGCCACGUGUGGCCGAAGUGAGAGUACCCGAAGAAAAAGCAUCGGCUAACUCCGUGCCAGCAGCCGCGGUAAUACGGAGGAUGCGAGCGUUAUCCGGAUUUAUUGGGUUUAAAGGGUGCGUAGGCGGAACAUUAAGUCAGCGGUAAAAUCGAGGGGCUCAACCCCUUUAAGCCGUUGAAACUGGUGAUCUUGAGUGGGCGAGAAGUAUGCGGAAUGCGUGGUGUAGCGGUGAAAUGCAUAGAUAUCACGCAGAACUCCGAUUGCGAAGGCAGCAUACCGGCGCCCGACUGACGCUGAGGCACGAAAGCGUGGGGAUCGAACAGGAUUAGAUACCCGCGUAG